GCACUAGUGGUCUAAUGGUAGAAUAGUACCCUGCCACGGUACAGACCCCGGGUUCGAUUCCCAUCUUGGUGCA
RNAcentral lists this transfer RNA (73 nucleotides) under Datura stramonium (jimsonweed). RNAcentral describes it as "tRNA-Gly". It matches the Rfam family "tRNA". From Rfam's summary of the family: Transfer RNA (tRNA) molecules are approximately 80 nucleotides in length. Their secondary structure includes four short double-helical elements and three loops (D, anti-codon, and T loops). Further hydrogen bonds mediate the characteristic L-shaped molecular structure. tRNAs have two regions of fundamental functional importance: the anti-codon, which is responsible for specific mRNA codon recognition, and the 3' end, to which the tRNAs corresponding amino acid is attached (by aminoacyl-tRNA synthetases). tRNAs cope with the degeneracy of the genetic code in two manners: having more than one tRNA (with a specific anti-codon) for a particular amino acid; and 'wobble' base-pairing, i.e. permitting non-standard base-pairing at the 3rd anti-codon position. Lineage: Eukaryota; Viridiplantae; Streptophyta; Magnoliopsida; Solanales; Solanaceae. The record is from RNAcentral.